UUUCUUGUUUUAAUAUUAAAGAAAAUACCAACAUACCUAAUCAAUAUCGAAUACACAGUAAAUACUUCUUUUUCAUGAAAUAAAAAAAUAAAUUAAACACGUGAAUAAUGUAUUCACUGUACAACAUUGUUCACUUUAUCCGUGAGGCCCGUGCUCCCUUACGUUCGAUCAAACAAAAUCUGCAAACGUUGACUGUGGCUGCCGAA
Biomphalaria pfeifferi is the source of this 206-nucleotide non-coding RNA. The record is from the annotation of a GenBank genome assembly. NCBI's taxonomy places the organism in Eukaryota, Metazoa, Mollusca, Gastropoda, Planorbidae.